Molecule: ribosomal RNA, 478 nt
Filed under: uncultured organism
Description: partial 16S ribosomal RNA
Rfam family: Bacterial small subunit ribosomal RNA
Source: RNAcentral
UACACUCCUACGGGAGGCAGCAGUGGGGAAUUUUGGACAAUGGGCGAAAGCCUGAUCCAGCAAUGCCGCGUGAGUGAAGAAGGCCUUCGGGUUGUAAAGCUCUUUUGUCAGGGAAGAAACGGUGAGAGCUAAUAUCUUUUGCUAAUGACGGUACCUGAAGAAUAAGCACCGGCUAACUACGUGCCAGCAGCCGCGGUAAUACGUAGGGUGCAAGCGUUAAUCGGAAUUACUGGGCGUAAAGCGUGCGCAGGCGGUUUUGUAAGUCUGAUGUGAAAUCCCCGGGCUCAACCUGGGAAUUGCAUUGGAGACUGCAAGGCUAGAAUCUGGCAGAGGGGGGUAGAAUUCCACGUGUAGCAGUGAAAUGCGUAGAUAUGUGGAGGAACACCGAUGGCGAAGGCAGCCCCCUGGGUCAAGAUUGACGCUCAUGCACGAAAGCGUGGGGAGCAAACAGGAUUAGAAACCCCUGUAGUCCCAUGAU